CCUUUUAAUCAGAUCUUUCCUCAAAAGCAUCACAGAUCCGGAGUUAACGAUUUUAGUGGUUUUGUGCUUCAGUGCCAGGAAGGACCUUUCCUGGUUGUCAGGUCCUAAGUCAGGGGGAAAGUACAAAGCAGUUAGAAACCGCUUAAGGCCAUAUUUGAGUAACAAGGAAGGUUAGGAAGGAGAACUCCCAGACACUUCCCAUGUAUAGUCCAAAUUUACCAAGAUCGUAAGCAUUGGAGAUCACCUCCUUAUUGGGUACAUCAUUCUUAGAAAAGCUUGGCCAGCAAUAAAAUACAAAACUGAAAAUUGUUAUACAAAACAGAGGAAGUAACAUGACAAUUCCAAAUUGUAUGAUGGUUCUUUUUUUUUUUUAAGAUUUUUAUUUAUUUACUCAUGAGAGACACAGAAAGAGAGGCAGAGACACAGGCAGAGGGAGAAGUGAGCUCCUCGCAGAGAGCCCAAUGCAGGACCUUAUCCCAGGACCCUGGGAUCACUGCGGGACUUUAUCCCAGGACCCUGGGAUCAUUGCAGGACUUUAUCCCAGGACCCUGGGAUCACACCCUGAGUCAAAGGCAGAUGCUCAACUGCUGAGCCACCCAGGCGUCUCUUGUAUGAUGAUUCUAAACCAGGACCUUAGGUCUGAAAGUAGCCAACUGAAAUAUUUAUUGGCACUCCUUUUGACUCAAGAGAGAAAAGUUUUCCCUAUGGAAGCAGACCUUGAGUUGUGUAUCCUCCUGGAAGUCUUCAAUUAAAAAGGCCAUGAAAGCAGAAGAAUCAAAACCACAAGAGCACACAGGAAGAACUAACCAAGUGCAUUUGGGAAGACACAGUGCAAGUAUAAACAUGAAGCAAUAGCUGAUCAACUUUUUGCAAAACAGCAAAACUUCAGACAUUUUAAAACAGUAUUGUUAUCUCAAAAGAACUGUAUGGAACCAAAUGUUAUUGAUAACACAGCCUAUAAAGUUUUAAAUUCAGAAAACAUUAAUUUAAAUAAGAAUCUCUGAAGCUUGGUUAAUAGUUGAGAUUAAAGAAAGAUUUUUGUGAAUUCUGAGCCUUCUGUUUAGAAAAAGCAAGUGAAAAACUAAUAUGUCACAGGAUCAUAAUGGGACUGCUUCAAAAAGGCCAUAGUAAAAUAAAAGAAGUUUCCCCUUUCACAAGGGCUUGAUAAAUUCAAACAGGGGCCUUGUCUUCCCAUAAAAGAAAGGAGAAGCAACAGUGAGAGAAAGGUACGCAGGCUGAUCCAGUUUGGGAAAUCUUCACUUUCAGAUUAAUAGAUGGUGUGCAGGUCCACUCAGGGUUUGGUGCUUUCUUUAGAUGUAUCAUGUGAAUCCAAGGGUCUAUUGCUUGGAGUUUUGUGGCACAAGGUUUGGUUUGCAUUUCCUGACAAGGCCUUUUCCAGUGAGGCAGUGGAGUCUUCUAGAAGUGACUUUUUCUGGUGGUAAGGUGCAAUGCUUAAAGCAUUGAUUUUCAAGAGUGCACUGUGAAAAGACUGCUCCAACCAAGCAUGGUUAUUUUUAUUUCUUUUUUUUUAAUUUUAAGUAUGUUUUUUGUCCUGAGGGUUUUUUAAAAAAUUUUUAUUUAUUUAUGAUAGUCAGAGAGAGAGAGAGAGGCAGAGACAUAGGCAGAGGGAGAAGCAGGCUCCAUGCACUGGGAGCCCGACGUGGGAUUCGAUCCCGGGUCUCCAGGAUCGCACCCUGGGCCAAAGGCAGGCGCUAAACCGCUGCGCCACCCAGGGAUCCCCAGGGUUUUUUUUUUUUUAAGAUUUAUUUAUUUAUUCAUGAGAGACACAGACUGAGAGAGAGGCAGAGACAUAGGCAGAGGGAGAAGCAGGCUCCUCAUAGGGAGCCUGAUGAGGGACCUGAUCCCAGAUCCUGGGACCACGACCUGAGCCAAAGGCAGGUGCCCAACCACUGAGCCACCCAGGCGUUUCCUGAGGGUUUUUUUUUUUUUUUAAGAAUUUUUAAAAAAGAUUUUAUUUAUUCAUUCAUGAGAGACACAGAGAGAGAGGCGGAAACACAAAGAGAGAAGCAGGCUCCCUGCAGGGAGCCCGAUGCUAGACUCCAUCCCCAGAUCCAGGAUCACGCCCUGAGCCAAAGGCAGACGCUCAACCGCUAAGCCACGCAGGUGUCUGUAAAAGAAUUUUUAAAAUCAAAAUUUUGCACCUAGUGGCUCAGUUGGUUAAGCAUCUGCCUUUGGUUGAGGUCAUGAUCCCAGGAUUCUGCUCAGUGAGAAGCCUGUUUCUUCUUCUCCCUCUGUGACUCCCCCUACUUGUACUGUUUCGCAUACUCUCUGUCAAAUAAGUAAAAUCUUUUUUAAAAAUUUAAAAUUUUGGGACGACUGGGUGGCUCAGCAGUUGAGAGUCUGCCUUCAGCUCAGGGCAUGAUCCCGGGGUUCUUGGGAUCGAAUUCCACAUUGGGCUUCCUGCAUGGAGCCUGC
This 2436-nucleotide long non-coding RNA is filed under the name Canis lupus familiaris (dog). Its description in RNAcentral is "lncRNA (ENSCAFG00845000545.1)". The record is from RNAcentral. Lineage: Eukaryota; Metazoa; Chordata; Mammalia; Carnivora; Canidae.